GCCCAGAAACAGUUGUGGUGAGCCUGUGCCUUUACACAGCAGACGCUUCAGCUUUGGUUACAGGAGAAGACGAGGUCACAGUGACUGAUUUCACAUGUGCUACCCGCCCUGUACAUCGACAGCCCAGCGCUCUGCCUGGCUCUGACCACACACUAAAGGUCGGGCGAUUUUCUACAUAUCAAAAUAGAUACGUUCAGCAAAAGCUAGAAACCUGACUGCCAAACCCGAUCAUGGACAGGGGCCAGCCUGAGACAGGAAAGGCUAGACAGAAAACUGUCCGCCAGCCCUCGGGUGAGCGACGGCGGCAGGCUGCCUGAACCUGGGCUCUCCGGUAAUGGUUCUAGCAGGUAACCCCUCGGUUCCUGCCUGCCCUCCCUAUGACAUGGAGCCCCUUGUGUCCCUGGAACAGCGCAACUGCAGUAGUGGAAGCUGAAGAGUUAAUGCCAGUUUUAUUUCCCUCUGUUCAAAGGAUGGAGCCAAUUAAAAUGAAGCGAGUCACUAUCAGCCAGUCCCUCCUGGGUAUCAGGUAAGGAUGAGACGCAUCUGUGCUAGUCCAACACCUGAGAAUUUCAACCCCAGACAUCAGUGCAGAGAAUCCUAGAGACCAAAAAUGUUCGGGUGGGCACUCGUGCCCUAGGCUCCACGGCCUUUCGUGCAAGGAGAAAGAGAAACUUCCAAAACUAGCCCCAGCAAGAGAUCACUGUGCUGGUUUCUCAGAGGUGAAGCUGCCUCCCAACUCCACUGGCUCGUGAGGCUAUUCCAGACACCUUCAUCCCCAUCCUUCUCAAUCGGCAUUCACUUCCCUUUGAAGAUGAAAAGACAUGGUCCUAUAGGACUGAAGGUUACGGCACAGAACAGAGUCUAAACCCACCUGUGUGAUUCCAGACUCGCCGAGCCCUGCUAAUUUGUAUUGGAGACACCGGCGCAGCCGCAGCCCCAGCUCCAGCUUACACCGUCCCACUCAAGGGAAGAGGAAGCAAGAAGGGGGAGAAUCCUGGCUGGGCUGUAGUCAUUUUAGAAGGAGCCCGUAGCUGCUGCUAAGAGUCAUCAUCUUAGCAAAUUUUUCCUGUUGCUAAGCCAUUCCUUUACCCAACCUAUAGAGCUUUUCCUGACCAGCUUUUACAUCAGAAUCAUCUGGAAAACCAGGUCCAGGCAGAGGAGGAACAGAAGCAGCUGAUUGCUCUCGAUGGAUCUCCUCGGGGGAAGGAAAAGUCCAAGCCGGCAUUCACCCAGCUGUCAGCAGAAACCGAAGCCUGUCCUAACAAUAUGAAGGUUAGAAAUAAGGGCCACAGCUUUGAGCACCAAAUACUAAACACCGGAAGUCGGGCUGUUCCUGUCUUACGACGCAGCAAGAUGACGUAAUCAGGCCGGCGAAGUACCUGAGGCGGCUUCUCAAGCUCUUAAGUCUCAACCCUUGUGGGGCGGUGAAAGACUCUUUUAGAGGGGUAGCCUAGGACCACCUGCCUGUCGGGUGUUUGCAAUGAGAGUCACAGCAGUGAGAAAAUUACAGGUGAGAAAUAGCAACGGGAAUUAUGUUGUGGUGGGGGUGGGGUCACCACCACGUGGAGAACUAUUGGGAAAGUUGAGAACAGCUGGCUCAGAGAAGUCUCUCCUUACGGUCAAAUCUAUUCGCACUUAAGAUCUUAAUCUCACGCUAUUUUUGAGAAACUGAGUCAUAUAAGAAACUGUUCCCCCCAGCACUAGGGAGGCAGAGGCAGGCGGAUCUCUGUGAGUUCGAGGCCACCUGGACUACAAGAGCUAGUUCCAGGACAGGAACCAAAAGCUACGGAGAAACCCUGUCUCGAAAAAUCCAAAAAAAAGAAAAAGAAACUGUUCCCCGUGGACUGUGCUUAUGAGUUAAAAGUUUUAUUUUGAUAAUGAAAGGAGCUUAAAUUCAGAAAUUGUUAUUUUUAAGGCUCAAACUGAAUAGAUAAAAGCUUUAUUUACCUCUUGUAUGUGUUUUCAGAGUGAAGCCUAAAGCAAGUAACUAAAAACAAGCAAGGUUUGCUUAGCUCACAUAUACUUAAUAGAUAAUGGUCCUCAAACUUCCCAGAGAUCUGCCAAAUAUGGCAUUUAAAAUGUUUAAUGGAAAAGCUUACUAUGACAGGGACCCCCAGCUUUUAGCAGUGACCCCGAGGUCUCCAAAGAAGUUGCUGCAGCACCAUGGAGACUCCAUCUGGAUUGUGGUAACGCUAACCACAGGGCAAGACUGCCCUAAUACCGCACCUGCCGCAGAACUUGGCCCAAACUCUGGACAAGCAGGACACUGAGAGUUGACUGCCCCACUUUGCCUAAACAAAGGAAGAUCCAUCUCUCUCAUGUUCCUCCCCCGUGGGAAAACCUCUCCCCUUCUGGGCCUGGCAGGUGAAACCUGAUGUUGCCCUGGAACCUCUGCUCCCAACUCCAUGGAGAUCACAGGAGCCUGGGAUGACAGUCUAAUAAUGGGCUAGUCUCUGUCAUUUUAAUUGAUAUAUUUGGAUUGUACUUCCUGCUACAAGUUAUCCUUCUCAGAUCUCUGACGGUGUUGACGGCUAGGCUAACUAUAGCUUUGUCGGCUUAGCAGGAGCAGUUAAAACCAGGUUCUUCCCCAAGGCUGCAGCGGCCUUGUUAGCUCAUUUCAUGUGUAACAAACAAGCCUUGCUUUUUCUAGAGCUACUAGGUACCCUGCUGAGAAAAAGCAAAUGGGUUUGUCUUGUUAAAAGGCUUCAUAUUAAAAGAUAGACAGGUCAUGAAAGGAACAUGACUCCUCUCAGGAACAACUACUUACAUUUCUAGUGAAUGAUUACACAAAAAGAAAAAGGGCUAAAAUCUACGUAAGGUCUAAGAAAAUGUUUUAAGAUGUAUGAAGGUCUGAGGGUGUGAAAGCUUAUGUUCUGGGGGUCUCAGAAAACGAUUUAAGAUAUAAAAAUGCAAGUUGUAAAGGUAUAAGUAAGUGAUUAAAGAUAUAUGAAAAUGUAAAACCUUUCCUAUUUCUUUCCCCUUUCUAUGCUAUUGUUACACUAAGAUUUCAAACGUUCAGAGUUUGGGCGUUGAGCGAUGGAGUUCUGCUAGGCUGGUACAGCAGUCAGUGACAAGAUUUUAAAUUGUCUUUGGUUGUAUUCUAAGUGCAGACUUAAGGUGCUUCUCACUGGGUUAAAGACAUUGCCGUCCAAUCUAGAUCUACAUCUCCAGACAGAUGAAAAGAAUAUUCAUGCUUUUUAACCCAAAUCUAUAACUUUUACUAGGACUCAAAGGUGAGAGUCUGCUCCAGCUUUCCUACAGACACCUGUUUCUGCUUCUUCUAUAAUGUGGAUUUCAGCACAGACUGGUAAUGCUAAUAUGCCUAAAACUUACGUUCUCUGGAAAUUAAAAACUCCUAUAAGCCUCUAGGGGAUCAUAAGACUUUGAUCUACCUCUCACAGGUCAAAAGGACUCCAGAUAAGAACAGCCUAAAGUUUCCCCACUUGUCUAUUCCUGAGGGUGGGGUCCCUCUCUCCUGGUCUUGGGACUCCACCCUUCCUCAACUGAAGCUGAUGCAGACCAGUCCAGCUGAUGUGGUGAUCGCUCCCUGUCUCUUCAGCUGGGUCAGCUAACCAGAGGCUUCUGAUGAAUGCCCCCUUGCCUGAUUCCCUUCCUUGCUUUUGACUAGCAUUCCAGUCGUUCUGGGCUCCGACAAGAUCCUAGCUUCAGCAGGAAGUAGUUACAGAAGAGAGAACAUCACCCCUCAUCCUGCAACAGACUGGGAUGUUAAAGCAAAAGGAUACUUCCUUGUAUGGGGAAAAAUAGUUAUCAAUAAUGCCUAUUGGCAUACCAGGAAAGGUACUUGUUAAAAUCGAAAAGGCCCAGAUCUAUCAACAGGUAAAUCCAUUAGCUGAUAUAGCCUACAAUAUGGUAGGUCACGUGAUCUGCUGUAUGUAAAAUAGAAAGGUUAUUGUACAGCUUUAGGAGAAAAUUGUUUCUAUGUAAACCACUCAUGAAUCAUUAGAAAUAGUCUUGCUGGGCUAAAAAAAAAUCAUUGCAAGAAAGGGGACCCGAGAGGAAGUAAGUAACUGGUCCCCAUUCUCACUUCCAGGUCCCUUUUAGAUAUAGCUCUGAUGUCAGCCUCUGGCCCUUCUGCUUCUGCUGACUGCUGUUGGCUCUUGCAUCACUGAUGCCUUAACUAAAUGCUAAUUCCUGUCUGGGCAACAUUAAGCUGAGGGUUAUUAGAUCCCAAUAAAAACAGGUACCAUCACAGAGUCAAGGAUUUGACUCAGGAUACAACUCGAGGUGGGGGAAGGAAUGGGAGAGCCGAAGUUACAUUUUAAGUUUUAAUUCCUAUGCCUCAGAGAUCUAUGGAAGGAAAAUGAAUGCCUCUAAUCUGCAAGCCCCUGGCCAAGGACUGAGAGACAGUUCCUGAAAUGCUGGAGACUACUGUUUAUGGGAGAUAACAAGUCUCACGCUUUCACUCCCUAAACAAGUUUGUUUAAGUCUGUUCACUACAUGAACUUGAUCACAUGUGGGUGGGAGGUUCCUGGGCAGGAAAUACCUCAGGAUGUAUGCUCGCCCCUGAUUGGACCUGAUGGAAAUACUUUAAGAUCCUACAAACCAUGACUCAGGGCCAUUUCCUGGGAACCCAGGUAUGGACCUGACCGGAGCCCAUCUACCUGGCCAGUAUUUAAUCAAAGCUUGCUUCAAAUUUGGCUUUAAACUGCGGUAGUGGUCUUAUUCUUGACCAGAGGGAUUAACACCAGCAUCACUAAAUUAAUUAGUUAUUUAAUUACUUCACUUUGAGGAAGAAACUCGUAAGAAAAUUCAAUCUGAAGGGAUUAAGUCCACUGUGACAUGUCUCACAUUCUAGGGACGCAAACAGAAUGUUGUUCCUGGAGAACCAUCAGGCCAGCGAGGAUGCCAGGCACCACGUCAGCCUGGUAGCUGGAGAAACACACUUCGUCUUGGUUCCAACAGGAAGAUGACCCUUUGAGGCUCCUCCAUACCGAAAAGUCCCUCGUGGGGGAAGUGAUUAACUCAGCGGGUCACAGUGUCAGCUCUGAGGACAGAGGAUGAACGACGUGACGUGAAGGAUGAAAGAAUAUCGUGAUUCUGUCUGAGAUGACUGCCAAGCAGAGAGAUCGGUCUAGAAGCCAAGGAUACUGCUAUAAAUAAAAUAGAAGGGGCUCUCAGGAGGAUGUCCCUCGGGGGAGAGAAACACAUGAGACAAGAAAGGACAAGACAGCAGCUCUCCAGAAAAUGUGCUUCAGAGAGAAAACAGUGCAGCUGCUUACAGAGCAGAAAGAAGUGCCGGUGGCCUAGCCAGCACUAGAGGCAGGAGGAGAGAGUAAGUGUUUCCCUCCAUUAUCUGAUUUGGAGUUUCACACUGGCCCUAGGAAACAGAGUUCAUCCAAUUAUCCCCCACGAUACAGAUAAAGGAAGCAGAGCUCAGAACGCAACGUGAAAUGCCCACAGCCACGCAGCCAGGCAGAAUGCAAAGCCAAGGGAUGUGAAGAGGAGAGGAAGUGACAGGGAACAUCUGUGGAUGUCUGUCUAGUGAGGCUAAGGUUAACAGCCUAAACGAUGUUCAGAUCUGAAGACGAAACCAAAACCUCUCCCUCUUUCGAAGAAGGCAGAGAGAGCUCUGUCCCACAACCUCAUCACCUAGAAAACCCAGUUGCCCCACCCUCAGGCAGAGCUACGAAUGUUCGUGGUUUCGUUCAACAUAGCCGUUGGGCGCAUGUAGCUGGGGUCACACACAACACCUGCUCUGCCCCGUGACAGCUGUGAGAUUCAGGAGCAAUAUGGAGAUAGAGAAUCGUGGACGUGUGUAAGCUACUGGCUCAACGCCUCUGCUCAGCCAAUGCCAGCUGCUAUCAUGGAUCUUGGAUUGAGCAGGAACACAAAUUCCCUGGAGGCCAGUCAUUCCUCUCCGCGCUUGAGAGGUGACUGGAAUGAGGCCAUUUCAGACACUAGAGAGCCAACGGGAAAACCAGUCAAGUCCCCGACAGAGAACCGACAGCUUCUGACAGCGCUCUACACAGGGGGUCAUAAUAGGAUAUGUAUUUAGAGAGGUCUGCUGGAGGAGAACUCAGAUCCAAGAUCCACACAAGAAGACUCCAGGCAAAAAGAGCGACAGCUGAGAAGCUCUGAGGCUGGAGUGGGCUGAGUGUGAUCCAUCAGUAGAAAAACGUCCAGGAGAACAGGCUGGAGACCAGCAGGAAAAGAAAAGAAGCUUGAUACUGAAAUUCUGGAGUCUGCCUUUCUCUCCGGGAAAGUCCUCUGCUCUCGGAGGACUCCGUCCGUAUUUCAUAGGCUCCUUGAAAGGUGACCAAAGGAGCUGCGUUCUCCCUUCUCAUGAUUGCCCGACAAAUGGCAUCGAAAACCAAGCCAAUGCAUCCUGCUGUGCAUGCACGCAAAGGAGAUGGGCCUUGGCCACAACACCCUCGCCAGCCAAGUCAAAACCUCCUUGCUAGAAUCUCGGAACCGCGCCUCACACAGCCAGGAUGUCAAUAGUGUCUGUGUCGCUAAUUGGCCUAUGAAACGGCUCCGUUGCCAUGACUAAGUAAACAACAUUCAGGGACGGUUAUGAUUAAAUUGCUUGGAAGAGGGGAAGGAAGGGCGCAGGGCUCCGCCACUGAGUCAUUAGCAGAAGACAUUCGGAGCCCUGAGUCUGGAACCGGGACUUAGAGGGAUUUCCGAAGGAAGUAAUUUCCUAACUCAGCCAGGCCUUGGGAGCAGAGGAGACAGGGCAGGGCGUAGAGGCAUAAUGAGGAUCCUCAUCCUUUUCUCAUCGGAAAUGCUACGACGUCAGAGAGCACGAAAGGACCUCGGGAUUAACCUGCUGCAGUGUUUUCAAGCUUAAUGGCCUGAAAAGGUGAUGCCAGACAAGUCUCAGGCCGCAAACCCUUAGAUCGGAGUUCUUCGGAGUCCCCAUGCCUCUGUAAGCAUGUGCGUGCACAUGUACGUGUGUGUGCGCGCGCGUGCGUACCCACGCAAACAUAGACACGCAAGCACAUUGCUCGUGUGUGUGGAGGCCAGAAGUCAACAUCACCUGUCUUCCUCCGUCACUUCACCCCUAAUAUUUGUGAGACAGGGUCUCUCGCUGAACCUGGACUUCACUGUCAUAGCUAGAGGACCUAGCUGCUGAGCCUUGAGACCCGCCUAUCUCCACCACAACCAGCCCCAGCGCUGUGCCGGGUUCUCGCGUGGACUCAGCAAGCAUCGUACCCACUGAGCCACCUCCUCAGCCGCUCACCCCCUUGCCUUACAGACCCGGUUUCACGUCUUGAUUUUCCUCAGCCCUCCUCGCUUGAGCUUUUAAGCAGCAGUCAGAACCAGCUGCUUCGAUCCCGCCUGUGAAUGAGGUUUCUCUCUGUGGUGCUUUAUUCCAGUAGAAAGUCAGUUUUCUGGAUGCCUCAGCAACAACCCUGGUGAUUGCUCCAUUAUGUUUACACUACAACAGGGCAGGACAUUGCAGGCUUAGAGCUUGGAAGCCACGGGGACCAUCGUCACCUGGCAGGCCAAUCUGCAUCCCUAUGCUUCUCUGCCUAGGGCAUCAACAGAACCUAGGCAACCAAGACCUCAAGAGCCAGAUCUCCUCCUGGUCCAAAUUCUGGCCUCACCACCUCCUAGCAAGUUCCUUGGUCGUUCUGUGACUCGGUUUCCCUAUUUGUCAUAAGGGUAAAUAAGUACCUGUAUCAAGUUUUUCUGAGAAUUGGAUGGUUGCUAGAGGUCAGCCAUUAACAUAUCCAUCACAUGGUGAACACUAAUGAGGAUUUGAUUUCAGGAGAAAAGUAUCAUAGGGAUACUGUUGCCAAUACUAGCAAUCAGUUCUGGUAAGCUUUUGAUCAUUUUUAGUUGUCAUGUCUGUAGGACUUCAGAACAUUUAAAGGAGAGGAUGAUGAUUAUUAUGCUGUUAUUGAACCAUUAUAGAAUGCAGGAGGCCAACUCUGAAAUGCUGAGGAGACAGAUGAUAAAGUGUGUUCUGAUACGCACACAGGGCUCAGUAGAGAGCCACAGUGGGUGCCGGUGAUAAAGACUUGGUUCGAGUCAGGCAAGACUCCCUCCAGGAGGCCACAUCAAUGUGUUAGCCAGAUGGAGGAGACAGGGAUUGUACCCCUGGAGAGGAGGCAACCAAGUGCUCCUUGUGCCUUAUGCUUCUGAUCAAAUCGCGCCAGUGAAUGCCUGAAGCUGCCAGCCUCACCCCCCACCCCUGCCGCGGCAGCUGCCGAGAUCAAGGCUCACCGCCUGGCAGGCACUGCCUUUUCAAAGUUUACCCCGCCUCCCUCGGCCUCACUCCAGCCUUUCAGGAGCUUCUGUAGUGAGCCAGCCCUUCAAACAGGCAUCCUCUACCCAUAAACCUUAGCACAGGAGCGCUUGUGGGCGUUGCUUUCCUCUUCCUUCCGCCCCAGCUCUGACCAAAGGCCGUGCGGUGAGGGACUAGGAAAUGUUCCCCACAGGCUCAUGUUCUGAAGAAACAAUCUCAGCACUUUUUGAGAGAGAAAAGCAACUUGAGCAGAAUGAAGAGGAACAGGAGCAUGGAAACUUCUUCCUUGGCUGGAGAGAUGGCUCAGCCCUUAAUGGCUAGAGGCUCACAAAGAAAAACAUAGGAAACUUCAUCCAGUAGGACUUCCAUGCGCAAAGCAGGCGAUUUCCAUGCUGUUGUUUGAGAAGAGGGAGCCUCAGCUGAAAGAAAUAACCCCAUCAAAUUGGCCCGUGGACAAGCCUGUCGGGCGUUUUCUUAAGCCCGGACCACCGCGGGAGGUGCCAUCCCAGGCAGGUGGUCCUGGGAGGGAUAAGAAAGUCGGCUGUACAAGCCGCAGGAGCGAGUCAACGAAGCAAUGUUUCUCCACGGUGUUUGCUGCAGCUCCUGCUUCCAGGGUCCUGUCUUGAGUUCCUGCCCUGACUUCCUUUCAGGAUGGACUGUGAUGUGGAACUGUAAGCUCAAGAUAUCCUUUUCUCUCCAAGCUGCUUUCGGUCACGGUGUUUCACCGAAGCAAUAGAAACCCUAACUAAGACACCCGCCAUACUGUGACCACACAAAACAGCCAGAGAACAGUCGUCAGGAGCUGUCCGCCUUGCUUCCUUGAGAUGGAGUCUCUCACUGUCUUGGAAUCUGCCAACCGUGUGCCUGUCCACCUCCCCAGUGCCAGGACUACCCGUUACCACGGCCCCUGGCUUCUUUAGGUGAGUUCUGGAGAGUAAACUCCGAGCUUCGCAGUUACCAGGCAACCAGUUUACCCUGGGAGCCAUCUCCCUAGUCCCUGGUGCACGCUUUGAAAAACCAUUAGUUUUAUCUAAAUGGGUGCCACUUAUCGGCCGUAUUUUUCCUGUCACAAAUCAGCUAACUCUCUUGUCCCUAAAAACAGAUGAAAUUAUCAAUUUUAGGGUCAAAAUAGAUAGCAUCUACUCAGUAAUGACUACUAUUAAUAAACACCCUUGAAAGUAAGAAGAAAGACCUCGGGGUGCAGAUUUGUUUAAGGUGCCCCCUGGAAUUGCCAGAGAAUUUGGGACAUCACGUAUUCUGCGCCUUUCUCUAUCCUGCCCUUUAGAUUGGUGUAAACAAACAUGUACACGGGAGCAUGUAUUUUUUUUUCUACUCAGUAUCCUUACUGCAAGAACUGACCCCACACCCACCCUUGCAGGCUCCAUCCGUGACUUCUGAUUACAAGCUUAGAGCAGGCACAUGACCCUGCAGGGCGUCCCAGGUUAGCUACUGGAAGAGUUCAAAUCAUUUGAUGUCUUUAGUAUUUUAAAAUCACUUCCUUAUGGCUGAUUCUACUCUUCGCUCAGAAAUCAAUCUACUAGGUUAUUCAUAACCAUAAGAAUACAAGUUUGUAUGAUUAACGACUUCCGAGCUUUGGUUGGAGGGCAGCACAAGGAAUAAGCAUUGGGCAUUUCUUUCCUAAAAGGGCAGUCAGUAUCGGGAAAGUGACCCUGGACACAGCCACAGACCUCCAUUCCUAUACCGAGAGACACAGAUUUACAUUUUUCAAAUGCUCACGAAUCCUCAAGGCCUGACCAUACAUGGGCAUUAAAUAUAAUUCUCCACUCAAUGCCCAUGGUGAAUCACAUUCUUACACUUAAAAUAUCUGCAAGCCCCUUACUGGGGUUGGAGGGAAGACUCUGAGGUUAAGAGUGCUCUUCCAAAGGACCUGGGUUCAGUUUCCAGCUGUUCCAAGCACCCAUAUCAGGCCACUCACAGUGACCUGUAACUAUAGCUCCAAGAGAUCCAAAACCCUCUCUGGCCUCCAAGGGCAACAACACUCAUACGGGAACACAUAUAUAGGCACGUACACAAAUCCCACACCUUAAAAAAAUUAUAAAAUGCAUAUAGGAACAAUUUACCAUCUUGGCCUUUCUUAUCGUGACCAUUUUAAAUAUUCACAUUGAGCAAUGUCCUCCAAAACUGGACAAGCUAUACUAUACUAUAUAUAUUAAAUAUAAUAUACGAUAUAUAUUAAAUAUAAUAUAUACUACAUAUAUAGUAUACUAUAUAAAAUGUGGUCUUAUAUAGCUGGGGUCUGUGUUGUCACCAAAGGCCACAGGGAUGCCCAAGGUCUGGGCUGCCUCCUGUGGCCAUGAUAGUGUCCAAGGGCUAUGUCACCACCAGGGCCACGCUGAUCAGAGCGGCCUGUCCCCUGGGCCAUGGUGACAUCUGGGCCUGAGCUGCUGCUGAAAGCCAUGUCUGGGUCUGUGGCUCUACACCAGCCAGGGUCUGGGUUGAUGCCCAUGGCUUCUGUUACCACCGAGGGCCGUGCGGAUAUUUGGGGUGUGCUCAGCCACUUGCGACCAUGUUAGCGUUUGAGGGUCAUGCUGCCACCAGGGCCACGCUGAUCUGGUUGGUCUGCACUGCAGGGACCUGGUAUUCUGUGCCCAGGCUGUUGCUGGGGGCCAUGUCUGGCUCUGGGGUCCUGCUGCAGCGGGGGUCUGUAUGCUACCACGGGGCAGGGGGGCUCAUAGGAACCAUGUGUGUUGAGAUUCAAAGGCCAUGUUGAGCCAGCACUGACCACCACUGGCCCUGGGAGAAUGAGCUGGCCCUGCCCCUCACCCCCGGAGUGGGAGAGCUGGCUCCACUGCUUCCCUGGGCUUUGAGAUAAUCCACCUCAGCAUCUUCCUCAUCCAUGACCUGCUGGACUUUGUGAAGGUACUGGUCCUGCAGAACCAUAGCCAGGAUCUCUCUGUGAGGGUCCGGUAUUGAUGGUGUACCAGAAGCCAGAGGCCUCGAACCAGACCAACAACUCAUUACACAAUGAACAUUUGUAUUUUAAGUAAACAUAUGGACAAAGGGACAUCCUGCACGACACACUGCAGCUCACAUUGCGACUAAGAUGAAUGAAAAGGUGAUGGAGAGGCGGGGAGACGGAGUGAAGUGGUUUUGGUGUCUGUUUUGGGGUUUUUGUUUUUAGUUUUCUUUUGGGUUUUGGAAUGCUACCGGGGUGAGGGGUGGACAUGGGUGGACUCGAAAAUGAGUGGGAUUAGGGUACAUGAUAUGAAAUUCCCAAAUGAUUAAUUAAAAAAUUAUGUUUAAAAAAAGUUGCUGUGCCAUGGUGGCGCACGCCUUUAAUCCCAGUGCUCAGGAAGCAGAGGCAGGACCGGAGCUCUGUUGAGGAAUAUUAUUUUCAUGUGUUUUACUUUUGUUUAUGCUGUGUUGGUUAACUGUGAAGCUGUGUUACUGUGCCUGUCUAAAACACCUGAUGGUCCUAAUAAAGAGAUGAACAGCCAAUAGCGAGGCAGGAGCAAGGGUGGGCGGGGCUGGCAUGCAGAGAGGAUAGAUAGAAGAAGAAAUGUGAGUGGAGAGAAAACGUGAGGAGGACAUCAGGGGCCAGCCACCCAGCAAGUCACAGAGUAUACAGAAAUAGAGAGAGAUAAAAGCUCGGAGGCAAAAGGUAAUCGGGAUAAUUUAAGAAAAUCUGGCAAGAAACAAGCCAACCUAAGGCCAGGCAUUCAUAACUAAGAAUAAGCCUCUGUGUGUGAUUUAUUUGGGAGCUUGGUGGUGACUCCCCCUCCCAAGAAAUCCAAAAGAGAAGAAAAAAAUCACACAACAGAUCUCUGAGUCCAAGGUCAGUCUUGUCUACACAGUUUGUUCCAGGACAGCCAAGGCUACACAGAUAAACCAUUUCUUGAAAAACAAAAACAAACAGAAAAGUCCCUUCACCCCCUCAGCCAUACCUGACUAUUACCAUUCUACUUUCUGUCUCUAUUAAAUCCCAGUUCCCAUUAAAGUUUGAGCCACAUUUAAUCUCUUUAAUUUCUAAGUACACUAUUAGUCUUGCCUAAAGUUCAGACAACCCGGAAAUGCCUAUGACGGAACAUUAAAUUCUUCCCAUUCCCAGCCCCACAACCCAGAAGUAGGUCAUAACUAUUAACAGUUUCAGGUACACGCUGUGUGAAGCUUUCCUAUACAGAUAUUUGGCAGUUGGGAAGGGCAGGAAUCACAUCUCCUCUUAAGGUGGGGUGUGUCUCUUCUGAAAAGUUUCUGUACCUCACAAGCCCCUCCGCCAACAUAAUAAUCCGAAUCAGACCAAAUUAAACCAAAUUAGAAAAAGCCCAGGUUUAAUGGAUACCAAUGCCCCUGGAUGGCUUUCCAGCCCCCAGAGGGGGCAGUUUAAAUACCCUGUAGGAGCUGCCUUGAGCAUCUCUGGGGAGGUGUCAUCAUUUGGCAGGCCUUCUCUCAGUUGGAGUCUGGACUGAGGCAACCCCUAGGGGAGGGGCUUGGGAUGGAACCUUCUACCCAAAUGUUUCAGACUCUGGAUAUAUGGAUGCCAGGGGCUGGGGUGAAGCCUUAACCCAAACAUCUUCAUCACUGUGCCUCUAAAUCUCAUGGACCUCGCACCACUAUCCACUCGCUCUGGUCCCGUGCAUGUGUUGUGCUUUUUAGACCACAACUCAAGAACUCCACCGUCCAUCACUCUGUGUUGAUUCGUGGACACACGCUAUGGUUUACAUACAUGUCUUCCAAAGACUCGUGGCUGGGGCUCCAGCUUGUAUUAUUUGGGGGAGGUGACACAACCUUCAGACACAAGGCCUGGCAGAAGGGGGUUAGGUUAUUGGGAAGGUGACCUUACAGGAACAUUGGAUCCCAGUCCCGUCUCAUCUCUUGUUCCCCUUCCUGUCUAUGAUGAGGCUGACAGAUGUCUGACAGGCCUUCUCUGUCGUACAAUCAUGAUAAACUAGAGCACCAUAGUCUACAGCAACAGAGCCAACUGACCAUGGACGGAAGCCUCCAAAACCAUGAGUCAAAAUGAAUCUCUGCCCUUUAAGUUGAUCGUUUCAGGUAUUUUGUCCCAGUAAGGGAAAUUUAAUUAGCACACGGCCCUCACAGGGAUGAGGAUGAAGUACCUAUAACGAAGACUAUGAGCAUGGAUCUCAUUGUGUACAUCUAUUCUCAAUACUAAAUCAGAAGAAAGGGCAGCAGGCUUUACCUUAAAAGGAAACGAAAGAUCUUAAAUAGUUGGCCAUAAAUAAAAUGGUUUAUUUUUAACAACGGACAUCCCAUAGACAUCCCCAAACAACUCAGUCUGUUACCAGGAUAAUAGGUUGCCCUCCACAAACUGACAGCAAGGCCCCCAUUGCUGAAGACAACACCCACGCAAUUCACUGAAGCUAGAGAGGCCAAGGUGGUGCCUACAGAGAGCCUUCACCCCUACAUCCCAAUGUCUUUGGUAUGGCAAGGUCCUCUGCGGGCUACCCAAAGGGAAGUGUACAUACCAACCCAGCCACAAAGCCUUUGAUCUACAAUUCUGUCCUUCUUACAAAAUAUGCUAGGGCAAUGGUGGCACAAA
Molecule: long non-coding RNA, 13733 nt
Organism: Alexandromys fortis (reed vole)
Lineage: Eukaryota; Metazoa; Chordata; Mammalia; Rodentia; Cricetidae
Exons: 11
Source: RefSeq, a predicted model, not a curated record